This 31-nucleotide non-coding RNA is filed under the name Rattus norvegicus (Norway rat). Lineage: Eukaryota; Metazoa; Chordata; Mammalia; Rodentia; Muridae. The record is from RNAcentral.
UCCACAGACAUGCGACAGGCAAAACACCCGC